Molecule: non-coding RNA, 411 nt
Organism: Saimiri boliviensis boliviensis (Bolivian squirrel monkey)
Lineage: Eukaryota; Metazoa; Chordata; Mammalia; Primates; Cebidae
Source: RefSeq, a predicted model, not a curated record
CUGCCUCAACCUCCCAAGUAGCUAGGAUUACAGAUAUGUUGCUGGAAUAGAUAUACUUCUGAUUCUACAAACAAAUGCCAGCGAGGAUAGUCCCGUUGAGGACAUGCUAAAUGUUGAGAGGCCACUGGACUUUGAUCCACCCUCAGCCUAGGCCAGCACUGGACUGUGGAAUAGUCCCUCCCUAACCACCCCUCCUGAAAAUUGGUAAGCCACCAAGAAGGACAUUCCAUGCUCAACUGUCCCAUUAAUGUCACCUGCUCCUCCCCUCCACAAUAGUUUUUUUCUAGGCCUGUUUAUUCCUUCCUGUAGGAGAAAAAGAGAAAAAAGCCCAUUGCUAUCUGAUCUUUGAGAUGAUUGCAGAUCUUACCUUUGAGGCAUUCUUGUUACAAUAGUUUCCCUGACCCUAUUAAA